AAGGGAGGUCGAAUGGAUCUCCCUGGGGAGGAGAAACAGAGUUGAUGUCACAGGUGGAAAUGCAGCACAGGGACCGGGAUCGACACCGGGACAGGAACAUAUGUGUAUCAUGGGCAUGUCUGGUGCCAUGAGACCAGAAGAGGGAACUUGACUUACAGAUGUUUGUGGUGCUGAGAAUCGAACCCAGGUCCUCUGGAGUAGCAACCAGUGCUCUUCUGAGCCACCUCUGCAGCCUGAUAAAAGUCUCCCAUGGGCCUAUCACAGGCAGUUCAUUGUCAUUUUAAAUUAUUAAAAAAUCAAAAUGGA
Grammomys surdaster is the source of this 306-nucleotide long non-coding RNA. RefSeq lists it as uncharacterized. Lineage: Eukaryota; Metazoa; Chordata; Mammalia; Rodentia; Muridae. The transcript is spliced from 2 exons. The record is from RefSeq and is a predicted model, not a curated record.